CAGUACAGUGCUAUUUAGCUUUACAGCGCUACUUAGCAUUACAGUGCUAUUUAGCUUUAAAGUGCUAUUUAGCAGUACAGUGCUAUUUAGCAUUACAGCGCUAUUUAGCUUUACAGCGCUACUUAGCAUUACAGUGCUAUUUAGCAUUACAGCGCUAAACCGGCUGACACUUUGGACUCAUACAGAAGUAGGUUAUGCAUCUGUUCUUUACGCAGAACUUUCUCUGUCUCUUUCUGAGGGCUCCCUUUUCCCUUUGUGAUUGAGACAUGAAAACCGCUAAGACUCAGCUUUUUCCAUUUCAAAAUAAAAGCUACUGUUCAUAUAUUUUCUACAAAAGUAAUUCAUGUCGUGAUGGAACACACAGACUCUGUGACCCAUUCAGAAUGAUUCCCGCCAGUUGAGAAACACUGCUCUAAUGCCUGAUGCAUGGCUUGGGUCUCAUGUACACACCCAAGGACAGGAAAUAGUUAAAUGGUUUGUGAAAUAAACUCUUAAAUUAUUUACUGCAGUGCUCCACUGUACCUUCUAUUCAGGUUUUUUGAGGGUGGCGGGAGGUUGGCCGGGUUACGGGGCAAUGAUGUCAUCUCAGAGGAGAAAUACAUACAGUCAGGGCUUUGAUUUAGCAGCGAAAAAUCUACAUUUAAGAUCUAGUGACUAAAUCUUCAGAUUGAACUCCUCCCUUACACCCUGUAGUUCAGCUUGCUCUGCUUCACUCCUGCUAGUCCUCCUCGACCGCUCAGCUUCAGCUGCAUACACCACAUCAACCACAAGAAAACAUAACCACCUCAAGCUUUUUUUUCAAGCUCUUUUCUCUUUGUAUAUAUCUUGCUUAUCAAAGCCAUUCAUGUAUUCUUGCUGUAAAGAACAGAACCCUAACACACACCUGCCAGAAAUCAAAGCUGUAUUCAUCCCCAGUGUUCUACUGAAUGCAUAGAAUGUUCUGGAGAGACAGGGAGGUUAGCGGACGACUGCGGUUGGUUACUCUUACGACUGUUGUUCCUCUAAAUGAUCGUCUUUUAUAGAGUUGUGAGUGCUUCAGGAUGGGUGAUGGGGAGGGGUGUAAGGUUCAUAGUACAUUUAAGAACUAGACCUUUUUCAAACUUUGUUUUGUUUGUUUGUGCAUUUUUUUUAUACCCAGUUUGACCCCAAUAUUUGACCUAAAUGCAUACAGUAACUUUACUGGUACCUAACCUUAAUGGUGGAUGUCAACGGAUUUCUCUGAACCCUUAAGAAAUUGCAUCUUUAUUGUGAUUGAAUCCAUUGUAACAUUCCUCACUGGCCAUAGGGAAAUGCUCCUGGUUGAUGUCACCAUUUGGUCCAGGGGUUUACCGAAGUAUUCUUCAACUCUCCAUGGCUGUUCAUUAGCUGUAGUUAUAGUUUCAAACUGUCAGCACAGCUUCAGGUACCAUGGGGUUGAGGGUGGGUGGGAGUCGUGUCUAUGUCACCCAGGUUAGCAGCUGAGUGUGGCCCAUACCUGUGUCAGGCCUGUUCCAGGGUCAGUUGGAAUUUGGGUUUAAUCACCUCCUGUCCCCUCAGGGCCUGACCUUUAAUCAGGUCUGCUUGGGCCCAUUAUCCUGCCAUGUCACGUUUCUGAGAUUGAUACAUUCCGGAAUCAGCAACAGAGGUGUAUUCCGGAAUCAGCAACAGAGAUAUAUUCCAGAAUCAGUACCAAAGGUAUAUUCCAGAAUCAUUCCCACAUAGAAUUCCUCAGGGAAUGUUCAGCACUGGGUUGCACUAGUUGAACGUAAGUUCCAUCUUUGCCUCGUUGAACGUAAAUAGGGACUAUGUUUGCGUUGAUAAACUACUCAAAUUGAAUGGGUUCCACCACACAAAUAGUUUUAUAACUUAGUUUUUGUGCCUCCUCAUCCUGAGGUGUUCGAUCCAUCAUAAAUAAGUUGUUAACAUGGCUACCUGAUUGAAACGGUAGGAAGAUUAAAACCAAUGGGAUAUGCCUCUGGAAGAGUUUAAUGUUGGACCGGUUACACAACUUAGUUUCACCUGCACAGUGUUUAAACCCUGUUUGAAUUCCUUGAAAACCGCAAUGACCUAUCACAAAUUUCAUUCAUGUUCCUAGUGUUUGCCAUUUACCACCCAGCUUACCGCCGCUAAUGGGGUGGUUGAAAUACCCAAAACACGAAGAUAGCUUUAAUAAAAAAAAAUCAGAUGCUGUUUUAUUCCACAAAAUAAAACAACUGAUGUGAAAGGGCGUUACUGAGGUUAAAUCCCAACAUACACUAUCAACAUGCAAAGGAUGAGGAGCUACGAGAUGCUUCUGAAUCAGAAGUUCUGAUCAUAGAAAGGUAAACGUCUAAUCAUAGCUCAUAAACAUAUCAAUAUCUAUGCUUCCGAUAUCAUCAGACAGCGAGGUAUUGAUUAGCUGUCCAUGUUGAAAAACGUCAUUCUGUGCGACAAUAUUUUGUUUUUGGAGCUUCUAACUAUGAUGUUACUUAACUAGCAGUGCUGCUAACUAUGAUGUAACUUAACUAGCAGUUAAGUUAACUGAAAAAGAAACCCAAACUAAGGUUUAUACCCAAACUUACCAUCGAACUUACGCUCAACUGGUGCAACGGACUGCAGAAAUCAAUCUCUUAUAGAGUUCCGUGGAUGAAUGUUCCAACAACAUUCAUUUGUAGAUUAACACAAAACAGAAAAAGUGUGUUGGAGUAGAAAUUCUAAAAUGUACUCUCUAAAAUGUAAAUUCUAAAAUUCUAGGCCUGCUUAAACCUUGGUUGUUACAAUUGAAAUGAAAUAGUGAUUUCCAUCAUAUGCAAACAGUGCAGGGGCAUUCAUUGGUUUGGGUCACGAUCAGUCGCAACAGGCCUGGAAUGGGUUCUGCGCAGAGUUCAGAAUGGGUUCUGCGCUGAAGGGAUCCGGAGGUGUCGGCUCCCAGGGAUUAUGUGGGUGGGGGUUUUGCGCUACAAAGAUUGUGUUUGACUUCUGGUUUCUUAGCACAAAUACUCACAACAGAAAUACAGAAAGCUGUGCAAAAAAUGCAAACGCAGAAGAGACAUGGGUGAGAUUAUGGGAUUGUCUCUAAAAAAAAUGGUUGCCAUGACAGCCUCAAUUGGUGGCCAAUCAUUGUCAUUGUAUGUGAGACAGGGUGAGACAAUGGUGUCAAAAGUGGAGUUGAGCCAAACCUUUGCUUCUGUGUACUAUUAAGGUUACUUAUCUUCUGUGUACUAUUAAGGUUACAUAUCUUCUGUGUACUAGCAAGGUUACAUAUCUUCUGUGUACUAGCAAGGUAACUUAUCUUCUGUGUACUAGCAAGGUUACUUAUCUUCCAGAAGGACACUCCUAGGGAACAUGGCUCAGUCAACACCCUCCAAAACACACUGCUUUGACAAAUCCGUGUUUUUAAAGGUUUGAAUUAAUUUAUGAUUCUCUAUUUAUUUAUUUAUUUAUUUAUUUAUUCAGUUAUUUAUUGGAAUGAACUCUGAUUUAUUUAUAACUGUAUAAAGUCUUUGUUUAUUUCUUGCUAUUCUAUGUUAAUGAUUCUGACAUGAAGAUGUAUAUAUAAAAUGCAGAACAGGUUUUUUUUUCUCUCUUUCUCCUUUUUUCAAUUUUACAAUAAAUAUUGAAAUGCUUUUCGAUUCGGA
Molecule: long non-coding RNA, 3596 nt
Organism: Clupea harengus (Atlantic herring)
Lineage: Eukaryota; Metazoa; Chordata; Actinopteri; Clupeiformes; Clupeidae
Source: Ensembl